This 244-nucleotide ribosomal RNA is filed under the name uncultured Alphaproteobacteria bacterium. RNAcentral describes it as "partial 16S ribosomal RNA". It matches the Rfam family "Bacterial small subunit ribosomal RNA", at positions 9 to 263 of the family's 1533-position model. Lineage: Bacteria; Pseudomonadati; Pseudomonadota; Alphaproteobacteria. The record is from RNAcentral.
GAGUUUGAUCGUGGCUCAGGACGAACGCUGGCGGUGUGCUUCACACAUGCAAGUCGAACGGGGUAGCAAUACCCAGUGGUCGGACGGGUGAGUAACACGUGGGAAUCUACCAUAAGGUGGGGAAUAACAGGCCGAAAGGUCUGCUAAUGCCGCAUAUGUAGGCAUCUCGACAGAGGUGUUUAUGAAAGGAGUAAUCCGCCUUUUGAUGAGCCCGCGUCCGAUUAGCUAGUUGGUAGGGUAAAAG